Molecule: unclassified non-coding RNA, 453 nt
Filed under: Hevea brasiliensis (rubber tree)
Lineage: Eukaryota; Viridiplantae; Streptophyta; Magnoliopsida; Malpighiales; Euphorbiaceae
Source: RNAcentral
AAUUGGGCUUAAAAUGGGCCUUAGACUUACAAUGGGACUCGGGGACUUAGGCUAACCGACGUACGGAUCAUUAACAGCCACACAAAUCACCGAAUCAAUCCCUUUAGCCUUGAACUUACCAAUAUUGUUUUUGUAACUAGGCACGUGCUGUUGUGAACAAACCCCUGGAGAUAGUAAAAGCAAAACCCAGAAAACUAUUCAAGCAAUGUAUUAUGUAUCAAUAAAACUGAAUAUAAAGGAAAUAAAUAGACUUGCAUCUUGGUUGGAGACAAAAGAAAAUUUCAUUGCUUGAAGACAAUGUGGCUUUUCGAUUUUAUGUUUUGGACAGCUAUAUUGUUCUAAUCGUGAGGGGAAAACAUUCAAAGAAUCAAAGAACUAUUAGAUAAUGGUUUUGCAUUUGAAAGCAGAUAUUGGCAUUGGCAUUAAUCAGCUAAAAAAAAAAAUUGAAAGUUG